AGUCGUGUUCCUCUUCUGACGUAAAGGGUGGUCGGCUAAUCCCCUGUGAAAGGGGGUGAUGCCUCUGGACGCUUACCAAAUGUUUGUUAUAUUAUUUUCGUUUGGUAGCUUUUUAGUUGGUUUGCUUGGCUUAGUUGUAAAGCUGAUCUCUGAGUUUAUCAACAAAAAAUAGACCUCCCUUACACGCUUAAAUGUUAAGGGGAGGUCUAUCUUGUUUAGGAUGGGCCGAUCCUCUGUUUAAGAGAACACGGACUCGAGCGACCACAGUGCCAGCUGUGGUCG
RNAcentral lists this small RNA (282 nucleotides) under Pontibacillus yanchengensis Y32. Its description in RNAcentral is "BsrG". It matches the Rfam family "BsrG". From Rfam's summary of the family: bsrE, bsrG and bsrH pair through intermolecular interactions with antisense sRNAs. The record is from Rfam by way of RNAcentral. Lineage: Bacteria; Bacillati; Bacillota; Bacilli; Caryophanales; Bacillaceae.